AACACGUUAUCCAUCUUGGGAUAAUGUCAUCCGAAAUUAAUCUCAAGGU
RNAcentral lists this non-coding RNA (49 nucleotides) under Plasmodium falciparum 3D7. The record is from RNAcentral. Lineage: Eukaryota; Apicomplexa; Aconoidasida; Haemosporida; Plasmodiidae.